CGGGUGAGUAUGCGUGACCAACUGCCCCAUGCUCCAGAAUAGCUCUUGGAAACGGGUGGUAAUGCUGGAUGCUCCAACUUGACGCAUGUCUUGUUGGGAAAGUGUUUAGUGGCAUGGGAUGGGGUCGCGUCCUAUCAGCUUGUAGGCGGGGUAAUGGCCCACCUAGGCUUCGACGGGUAGCCGGCCUGAGAGGGCGGACGGCCACAUUGGGACUGAGAUACGGCCCAGACUCCUACGGGAGGCAGCAGCC
RNAcentral lists this ribosomal RNA (250 nucleotides) under uncultured Gardnerella sp. Its description in RNAcentral is "partial 16S ribosomal RNA". It matches the Rfam family "Bacterial small subunit ribosomal RNA", at positions 103 to 355 of the family's 1533-position model. The record is from RNAcentral. Lineage: Bacteria; Bacillati; Actinomycetota; Actinomycetes; Bifidobacteriales; Bifidobacteriaceae.